GGAAGGUGAAACGUCCGCGGUCGCGGCC
Molecule: small RNA, 28 nt
Filed under: Bombyx mori (domestic silkworm)
Lineage: Eukaryota; Metazoa; Arthropoda; Insecta; Lepidoptera; Bombycidae
Description: ovarian small RNA-17215
Source: RNAcentral